Molecule: ribosomal RNA, 997 nt
Filed under: Enterococcus faecium
Lineage: Bacteria; Bacillati; Bacillota; Bacilli; Lactobacillales; Enterococcaceae
Description: partial 23S ribosomal RNA
Rfam family: Bacterial large subunit ribosomal RNA
Source: RNAcentral
AUUGUGUGAAUACAUAGCACAUUCGAGGUAGACGCAGAGAACUGAAACAUCUAAGUACCUGCAGGAAGAGAAAGAAAAUUCGAUUCCCUGAGUAGCGGCGAGCGAAACGGGAAAAGCCCAAACCAGCAAGCUUGCUUGUUGGGGUUGUAGGACUCCAAUAUGGUAGUUCUUUCAGAUAGUCGAAUGACUUGGAAAAGUCAGUCAAAGAGGGUAAAAACCCCGUAGACGAAAUGUGGAAGACACCUAGGAGGAUCCUGAGUACGGCGGAACACGAGAAAUUCCGUCGGAAUCCGGGAGGACCAUCUCCCAAGGCUAAAUACUCCCUAGUGACCGAUAGUGAACCAGUACCGUGAGGGAAAGGUGAAAAGCACCCCGGAAGGGGAGUGAAAUAGAACCUGAAACCGUGUGCCUACAACAAGUCAAAGCCCGUUAAUGGGUGAUGGCGUGCCUUUUGUAGAAUGAACCGGCGAGUUACGAUUGCAUGCGAGGUUAAGUUGAAGAGACGGAGCCGCAGCGAAAGCGAGUCUGAAUAGGGCGUUUGAGUAUGUAGUCGUAGACCCGAAACCAUGUGAUCUACCCAUGUCCAGGUUGAAGGUGCGGUAAAACGCACUGGAGGACCGAACCCACGUACGUUGAAAAGUGCGGGGAUGAGGUGUGGGUAGCGGAGAAAUUCCAAACGAACUUGGAGAUAGCUGGUUCUCUCCGAAAUAGCUUUAGGGCUAGCCUCGGAAUUGAGAAUGAUGGAGGUAGAGCACUGUUUGGACUAGGGGCCCAUCUCGGGUUACCGAAUUCAGAUAAACUCCGAAUGCCAUUCAUUCAUAUCCGGGAGUCAGACUGUGAGUGAUAAGAUCCAUAGUCGAAAGGGAAACAGCCCAGACCACCAGCUAAGGUCCCAAAAUAUAUGUUAAGUGGAAAAGGAUGUGGGGUUGCACAGACAACUAGGAUGUUGGCUUAGAAGCAGCCACCAUUUAAAGAGUGCGUAAUAGCUCACUAGUCG